This 468-nucleotide ribosomal RNA is filed under the name uncultured bacterium. RNAcentral's name for it is "partial 16S ribosomal RNA". It matches the Rfam family "Bacterial small subunit ribosomal RNA", at positions 28 to 507 of the family's 1533-position model. The record is from RNAcentral.
GACGAGCGCUGGCGGCGUGCUUAACACAUGCAAGUCGAACGGAAAGGCCCUGCUUUUGUGGGGUGCUCGAGUGGCGAACGGGUGAGUAACACGUGAGUAACCUGCCCUUGACUUUGGGAUAACUUCAGGAAACUGGGGCUAAUACCGGAUAGGAGCUCCUGCUGCAUGGUGGGGGUUGGAAAGUUUCGGCGGUUGGGGAUGGACUCGCGGCUUAUCAGCUUGUUGGUGGGGUAGUGGCUUACCAAGGCUUUGACGGGUAGCCGGCCUGAGAGGGUGACCGGCGACAUUGGGACUGAGGUACGGCCCAGACUCCUACGGGAGGCAGCAGUGGGGAAUAUUGCACAAUGGGCAGAAGCCUGAUGCAGCAACGCCGCGUGCGGGAUGACGGCCUUCGGGUUGUAAACCGCUUUCGCCUGUGACGAAGCGUGAGUGACGGUAAUGGGUAAAGAAGCACCGGCUAACUACGUG